Molecule: long non-coding RNA, 4733 nt
Organism: Cyprinus carpio (common carp)
Lineage: Eukaryota; Metazoa; Chordata; Actinopteri; Cypriniformes; Cyprinidae
Exons: 3
Source: RefSeq, a predicted model, not a curated record
AUCAUAAACCAGCCUUUUCUUUCCCAUAUCCAGUCUCUCCAGCUCCGCUCGCGCUCCCUUGGUUCAUUAGAGGAAAUACGACGGAGCGAAGCUUUAUUGUGCAGUUGCCAUUCACAGUGUGUUAUCUAUUGUAUUGGCUGUGCGAUUUAAAUGUCUGAGGACGAAAGUUGCUGUGUUGUUUACGAUUCAUUAUCGGGCUUAUCUAAAAUUCACAUAUGCAUGAGCGGAGGUGGUAAACAACCGCGGGUCGCACAUUUGUUAUUAUUAGGACGGAAAAGAAAGGCGCUAGUUUUUUUAAAUUAAUGUUUAUUUGUGUUUCGUGAAGGGUUUCAACAAAAGGCGAUGCACGCGCUCUCGUGGGGGGUGGGAUUAAAGUAGAAGUCGCCUAAUGUCAAUGACACUUUCCACGAUUAAUUAAUUUCGUGCAAUCGCUAAGGUUGAAUAGCAUGACAAAAGAGCGGCUCGAGCGCGUAUGCAUACACACAUCAUCGAGCACUAAAAGCUGUAGUGAACGCCAAGCAGUGAAGUGCCGGGUUUUAUUAUGUUCAACUACGCUGAAGCUGCAUUCCGCUUUCAUUCCGCCGCUCCAAAAUUAUACGAGGAUGUGGUGUGUGUCUCAAAACCGAUAUAUUCUCACAUGUUGCUCAUUCUUACAGCUGAGAAUAAACAGGCGCGUUCAUUUCAGCAACCAAACGAUGCCUGCGCUAUUGCUGUAAAUGCCGAUCCGAUAGUUUGCGAACAAAGGACCGGGGGAGAAUUUCGUGAGGUGGAGGACGACAGUAAAAGAACGGGUUGACUGUUUACAAUAAUAACAGCAUAGCCGUGACGUCGAGUGAUAGACAGCGCUCUCAGCCAGAGGAGAAACUUCUGAGGCAUCAACAACAUUCUAAAUUUGGACAGGGGUUACAUCAUCGAAGUUAACGCUGCUGAGGGGCGGGACUUCCGGUUAGAUUUGAGUUCGUACCGCUGAAGCGGCUGCUCUUUCUGUUGUGUCUGUCCAUCUGUCUCUGCACAGUCGCCUCCCUUUCACUGUCACAAGCAGAGCAAUGCUUAACAUUCUAUGUUAAAAUGUUUUUAGAUGCUCGUAAAUGGUUAGUAAUAAUGGCGUUGAUGUAGCUAUUGUGUGGUCCAAAUGAUCAAAACGUUUCCGCAACCCAAGCUAACUUAAAAAGAAGUAAUGAACUCAUAUAUUAUGACUUCAGCUAUUCAGAGAGGUUGUUUGCAUUGAUCAGUUCAUUAUCUCUGUUAAAACGUGUAAUUUUGUGCUGGUACUCUUCAUAAAAUCCCAUAAUUAUAGACAGUGGUAGGCUAAGUCAUAUGUUUAGACAGGGUCGAUGAAAUAUCAUGUAAUGACUCGCUACAAAGUCAAGACAGCUCACUAUCACAUAAAAUCACUACAUAUAAUCACUGAAUGAAUUUCAGUCUUAUGUCAUACAACAUACUAAAUACAUGAUGCUUUGGAUAAAAGCGUCUGCUAAAUGACUAAAUGUAAAUGUAAAUGUAAUGAUGUUAAAUUUACUGAAAUUGUAUUGCCAGUGCACUCCAUUAUAUGGAGUAUACAUUUUAUAGGCUAUAAUGCCAGAAACUAAAUUUCAGAUAAAGUGUGUUUCUGCGAGGUGAUGUCAAAUAUUUUAGCAAUAUAACCUGACCUAUUUUAAUCUAUUUUUUGUUCAUACUUUGAGCCUAUUCUAUAUUAUAUAAGGCAUUUAAUUAGAGGGUUUUUGUAUUGUAAAACCGUGUAAUAAGAGACCAUUCACUUUAGUAAGAUCUCUCCUGCUUUGGGUCACUAAUAAAUGAACUUAAACCAAACAAACCAGCAUGAGUCAGUGGCUGUGUCUUGUUAGGCCGGUCCACUUAACAGGGGUCAAAGGUUGCUGUUUUAUUCUCAGACUUGACUUGCAGACAUCUAUUGGCUUUUGAUGGAUGUUGUUACUUAAGUGUGUAGGCUCUGGCCUCUGUAAAAGGGGGGGCUGUCCCCUCACAUGCUCCCACCCCCUCCCUCAUACUAAAGAGAUCAUGGGUGCAGCUGCCUCAGACAGCUUUGGGGUGGGUUGGGGGUCCGAGACCCUUCAAUGAGAGAACAAAACCCUUUCAUAAACACACACACUCAAGUUCACCCCUUACAAUUGCCCCUAUUUUCACACCCCUACAAAAAAAAAAAAAAAAGCUCUGAAGGGCACUGUGUGCACGGCACACGUAUUUGUCCUUACUAGUACACAGCUAAUUACUAAAAUGUUAGGAUCAUGAAUCUGAAAAACAGAAAGGCAUGUUUAAUUAUUAUUAUUUUUUUAUGGUUAGAGUUUAUCAUCAUAUAUGAGUAAUCCAACAGGUCAAGGAUUUAAUAUAAAGGAACUUUAUCAGAUACUGCAUACAACAAAACACAGCUUUUCUACUUUCAGAUAUCCAACAAUUGUAGUCUGCCAAAGCCUACUUUGCUGACUCAGCAAAUUUCCAGCUUAUUUUUUAUUUUACACUGAUAUCAUCUUCAACUCGUAACAUUAAUUUCCAUCAAACUGCUAAAUAAAACCACACAUCUAUUUAAAGACAAGACAGAUAUAUGCUCCACACACCAACAGAAAAAUCAAAGAACGAGUUAAUCAAAUUAUCAUUCUGUAUCUUUCACUGAACGUAUUGAAUGUAGUUUGCAGCUUUGCAGUGUGUGUCUAUUUCAAGAGUUGUUUGAGGUGAAAUGUGAAGGCAGAAAGUUUAAUUUGAUUCAGAGAAUCAAACUAUGAAUAGAGUGUGUAAAACUUCGGUAGGAACCUUGUUGUUACACUUGCAUUAUGAGAUGAUGCAGGAGUCAUGAAGUCAGAAAUUAGUCAGUAGUGAUGUGGAUAAAAUGUGUGAGACGGCCUUAAAUAUAGGGCUGCAUUUGUUGUAUGGCUCUAUAUGUAUAAGGGACUUUGAAAGUGUGCAUUUGGUUAUUAUUCAUAUAUGCUCCCAGAAGCGUCAUGCUUCAUGUAUUUGACUGUAAUUCAUGCUGUAUUAGCUCAGCAUCUUUUAGCUGAUUACACAGCCCUGUAAUAUGCAAUCUAACAAUAACAAAGUUGAGGUCCAUGAUAAAGUUGAUUCUGACAUCUAUUAUAUACAAAUAUAAAAUGUGGAUUAUUAGUAUCUAUUGGCAGCAAGGUGCCAUAGGUUUGGUCAGCUUAUUAGAGCCUUGAUAUUGCUGCAUAUGAAUGUUAAUAAUUAAUCACCCAAACUAGAAGAAAUGGGUUAAAUCUUGUGCUGGUAUCUACUACAGAGUAUCUGUGUUUGGAUAAGUGGGCAGUAUUAAGAUUUGGGCUUUCAAGUGUGUCACAAAGCAGUUGCUGAGGAAAAACCAGGUCAUAUCACCCUCUCUUUCUGAGCAGAAUGGAUAUUUUACAGCACCACUGAGACUGAGCUAUCAGUUUGCAUAGGGCGUAUACAGAAGAACACCUUACAUGAGUUUCUCUAUAGGGAGCUGGAAGGGAAGUAGUCGAGGAAAUAGCUUAAAUAACAAACAUUAGAUAGCCAAAGGCUACUUUUUAUUUCACGAGGCUGCUUAUCUGUCCAGAUUUGGGUGCCUCCCCUCAAUUGGCAGAGGAUUCUUCUCCUUUAAACACAUGCACGUCUUUUAACACACAGUUUCACAGAAUAUUGUAAGAUUGUUUCGUGUCCUUUUCAACGGUGAUGGAAAAAAUGUUUCUUUCAGUAAAAUCUUUCUAAUCUCCCACCUUCAAAACCGCUCUCCAAGUCCAUGUUCCCGGCAUGCACACGCGAGCUGGGGGCGGCUCUUACAGAUUUGAAUGAGGAGAGUCACUUUCGGCGCCAUUUUCGAGUGAGCGGCGAUAACAUCACAUCAACGCCGAGCGCGCGCGCAGAGAGGGACAGUGCGCGCGACGCUUCGUCUUAAACAUCAGACUUGUUAUCUGAAUGUGGGAAAAACAGCACGGGCGGACCACGUUUAGAGGGAAAAAACGGCUGGGAUCUGGUGUCGACGAGCACAGAAGUGACCAAUACGAGCCGAUCGAGGAGCCGAAGGAGAAAAGGGGGCUAUCGCUCAGCUGCGUAAUAUGGAAAACAUGCGAUUUUAUAAAAAAUAAUACAUAAAAAUAACCCUCGAUGCGGGGAAAAAUAUAGAAAAAUUCUGGAAAAUACCAGAGGGUCUUAGGAUUGGGAUUCGGCGCGGCGGUGGUGAAGGUUGUGUCAUUUUGGUGCUUUUUCACGUCGCUUUUUGAGCGGGAGUAACGGACGAGCCGCUGGCGCAGAUACACGCAGUUCAGUCCGAGUCUGUGCUGCAGCAGACACUGAACUCACAUCUUACAGGAGACAUCAAGCACUUUAGCCGGAAAGGAAUGUAGAGCACACGGCAUGACACUGAGCUGUGACACAGUCAAAUAACUGUUGCGAAACGAGGAGCGUGUAUGUGCGGCUGUGUGGGCGCGCGCCUCGCGUGAGUGCGUGUGCGCGCGCUCUGUGCGGGGCCUGUCGGUACUGUAGCAGCACAGAAUGGUUUGUGAGUUAUAACGGGGGUGCAGGCCGUACUGUGCUGCGGCAAGAACGACAGGACAGACGUGCACUUCAGAUUCAGACGGGUGAAAAGACAGAAGAGAAAGGUCUAGUAGGCGAAGACAACAACAGCAGCAAGACUACGUGUGCCUGCGAGCCUCCUGAACUUGGCCGUGUGACUGACUGACUGACUGACUGGCCGCCUGGCUGUAGCAGCACGUAAAUAUUGGAGUCAAAGCACUAGCGAAUCCUCCAGUAUU